AAAUAAAAUAAAAAAAAGACACCGGCAACAGUUCUCCGGUGAGUUGCGUUGUUUGCUGCCGGUCAGGAAAAAGUGAACCGGAUGCGUUAAGUUCGGUGCAUUGGUUGCAUAAAUUAGCGUUGCCAGCUGGCAAGAAAUUUAUGCCCAGAAUAUACAACCCUAUCUAUAAUAAGGGAUUGAUAGGUGAGAUAAAGAGAAAAUAAUAAAUGUUGAACAAAUGCGCGAGAAAUGCUGAUAAAUAGAAAUUUGCAACUGGCUGCGGCCAUAUAAAAGGCAUAACGGGGCAAAAUUUGAGAUAGAUUUUAUUUGGUGCUUUAGAGAGAAACCAGUUUUUCCUUGAUUAAAAAAUCUUCAACAAAAAAGAUUUAUAAAUUUGAAAAUAAAAAAAUCCAGGAAAAUAUACAUUUUUUUUGUGUGAUUAACGUUUUUAUUUUGUUGUUGUGUACGCUUGUGCGUUCGUGCCAAAAAAAACGUCGCCGACAUCCACAUCAACGAGUCAGUACAGAGCCCUCCUGGCUCAUGAGCGGAGGAGGUCAGCCAAAAUUUUUCUGGAAUAGACGAGUAACUGGAUAUAGACCUAAAAUUGAAUUUGGCCCAGCAAAUGGAGUCUAACCACAGAGGCAUUGGGAUUGUGGUUUAGGAUUGCUGUCUGUCUGUCCACAAAAAGGAAAUCGUGGUAAUCCAUGCUGAUGUUCUGGAUCUAAAAAGAUGCUAGAAAUGAAGACAUUAUAACUAUCGGAAAACCAGGUAACUAAAUUGCUUACCGGCUUUAACCUCCAUUUUUAAAAAUUGUAUGCCGAGAGCCCAAAUGUCUUUAAGAAGUCUAAAAAGAAAGACAAAAAAAUAAGAAUUGAUAUGAAUAUGUAACUUAAAACAAUCAAACAAAACACCAAAUUACAUCAAAAUUUAAAAAUUAUAAAAAAAUAACGAAAUAUUUAUGUAUUAGUUUAAGUGAAUGUUAGUAGUUAGUAAGUAGUAUAUAAGAUUUAUGUGUUUGUAAAAAUUUUUAAUGCCAGACUAAGUUCGGAAAGUGUACGAUUACCCCGAAUCUAAAAAAUUAGAUUUGCUUGAAUUUGUGGGACCAAUUGGUUAUGUCCCCCGUAACCAGCUAAGGGAGCUCUCUUAGGUGAAGGAUUUUUUUUUCUUUUUUUGAAUAGAGUGGCCGAUUUUGACCAAAAUUCGAUGGUAUAAGGUGGUAGUCCGAAUUAUUGACUUUUCGCUAGAACCAGGUGUUAGGAAUUUAAAACUUUGACAAAAAAUAGUAUGAAUUUAAUAAAUUGUUUUAAUUUUUUUAAGUUUUUAGAUUAAUAUGAA
Musca domestica (house fly) is the source of this 1314-nucleotide long non-coding RNA. RefSeq lists it as uncharacterized. The record is from RefSeq and is a predicted model, not a curated record. The transcript has 2 exons. Lineage: Eukaryota; Metazoa; Arthropoda; Insecta; Diptera; Muscidae.